GUUCAUAUGAUGAAUUGAUCAAGUCGGAUACCCCUUCACUCCUAAAUGAGUGAAACUUUAAUUCUGAUCACC
Erpetoichthys calabaricus (reedfish) is the source of this 72-nucleotide small nucleolar RNA. NCBI's taxonomy places the organism in Eukaryota, Metazoa, Chordata, Cladistia, Polypteriformes, Polypteridae. The record is from Ensembl.